RNAcentral lists this ribosomal RNA (305 nucleotides) under uncultured bacterium. RNAcentral's name for it is "bacterial SSU rRNA". It matches the Rfam family "Bacterial small subunit ribosomal RNA", at positions 337 to 659 of the family's 1533-position model. The record is from RNAcentral.
GCCUACGGGGGGCAGCAGUAGGGAAUAUUGCUCAAUGGGGGAAACCCUGAAGCAGCAACGCCGCGUGGAGGAUGAAGGUUUUCGGAUUGUAAACUCCUUUUGUUAGAGAAGAUAAUGACGGUAUCUAACGAAUAAGCACCGGCUAACUCCGUGCCAGCAGCCGCGGUAAUACGGAGGGUGCAAGCGUUACUCGGAAUCACUGGGCGUAAAGAGCGCGUAGGCGGGAUAGCAAGUCAGAUGUGAAAUCCUAUGGCUUAACCAUAGAACUGCAUUUGAAACCGUUACUCUAGAGUAUGGGAGAGGUG